This 1924-nucleotide long non-coding RNA is filed under the name Homo sapiens (human). Its description in RNAcentral is "HSALNT0332428". Lineage: Eukaryota; Metazoa; Chordata; Mammalia; Primates; Hominidae. The record is from RNAcentral.
UGGUGUUUGAUAUGUGCUUGCUGAAUGCCAGUUUGUGCCAGGAGGUGCAAAGAUCAAUAAGUCACAGGUCCUUCCCUCAAGUACCUUACAGUCCAGCAGAGGAGAUAGACAAGAAAACAAACACAACAGUAAAGUCAUAAAUAGAAAUUUAUACAAAGACCAACGUAGCAGAGAGGGAGGAGUGAUUAACUUGAAAGUUAUACCAGAAGAAAACUUCAAAGUCUGCAGCAUCUGAUGGAUUGCAGGUGCAAGGCCCCUUUAGAACAGCUGCACUCCUGAACUUUUCUCUAACAUGGAUUUGUAUGUAUUAAAGCCUAUAUCAUUUCAUUAUACAACUGGAUGUAUGUGUAUUAAAAUCACAUUUGAUAAUUCAACUCAUUAAAUGACCUAAUGACUCUUUUGCUUUGCUUUCCUCCCUUUCUCAGCAAGCAAAAAAGUUUCUUAACUGAGCAGUCACAUUGGAUUGAAGAGGCAUCUGUUUCUAACAAAUUGACACUUCAUUAUUUUCCAUUGGGAGCAAAUGUGCACCUCCUUUUGAUCACUCAGAGCUUGUUAUACAGAACAAUAAGAAGGCACUGUGUUAGAAUCACCAGGCCCCUCUAAACCAGAGAAAAUGCAGAAAUACCAAAGAGGUUGAGCCUAAUUAUUUCAGUAAAUGAAGCAAGAGGGUGGGGCAUGUUACUGGAAUAUAGGACUGAAUGUAACUUGAAAAUUAUAUAAAAGAAGCUUUGGGAUAAAGUGUAAUUGAGUUAGUUUGCUAGUUUCUAAAUUCUGUAAUAGUGAAUUUCAUGUAUCAGGUUUCUAUGUAACGAGGUGUGUAUGUGAGAGCUACAUAUACAAAUCUACUUCUUAAGUAUUUCCCAAAUGAUUUGUGACAUUUAGGGGGAACUCCAUGGGACAUUAAUACUAGAAAACUCUCUUACCUGUAUAGAAGAAAAACAUUUUAUAAUGUUAAUCGUCAUAAUAUUUCUCUUGUAGAAAAUAGUUGGAGAAAUCUAAGGUUGAAAACAACAUAUGUUCUCUAUAUUAAAACGUCAAGAGCUGUACUGAGGAAGUUUGUGGAGUGGGUGGUAGUGACAGAGACAUACUCAGGAAGGCUGGACCCAUGGAGGCUGCCCACCUUGUUCAUUGAUUUCUACUUGAUUGAUUCCUUCUUGAUUGAUUUCCAGGAUCUCUGAAACGAGAAGCCCUCCCCUUUAUAUGUUUAAUCAGAUAUUGCAAAGUGGACCUGAGAACGAGCCCGUCGGAAGCAGAUUAUGAAGGGGCCUAUGUUUUGAAUAUGCUGAACUGCUUUGGUUUGUGACUGGGGAAGAUUAAAGGCCUACAACAAAAAUGAGUGCUGGAUAUUGCUGACAAGAGAGGCUUCCUGUAAUUUCUCAGGCCAUAAGUAUUUAAGGGUCCACUGUUGACGCCAGCAUUGCAUUUCCCAUGUUCCUGCUUGACACACCUGUGCAGGUGGCAUGGUUUUAGCAGACCGAUCCAGAGAGAAGUAUCUGCAUUACAGUUAGACUGGAAGAAAAGUUAUUAAGUUGAGACUUUAAGGUAACCAGCCUUACCGACGUCACAGAAGUGUGUACGGAGAAGAGUUCCUGCCAGCUCAAGUAUUGUCUCCUCUGAUCAGAGUUCUCCUUGCACAGCUUAUUUCUGCUGUGAUAGAAAAACAGUCUGGGUGUCACAGAGAGAACUGAAGACAGGAAGUGGGAACUCUCCCUUCUGAAUACAGCACUAGAGUUAAUGUUAAGAGUGAGGGAAAAAAGCUAAGAGUAAUUCCUAUUGGUGAACUCAUUCAAUAUUCACAGACACCUAGGAGAUAGAUAUUCUUCUUCUUCUUCCCAUCUUCUAAGAAACUGAGGCCCAGAGAGGUUGAGUAAAUUACUCAAGAUUAAAUAGCACAGAUGGCAGAACAAAGAUGCAAACUCAGAAA